UUUGAUAACUCUUUUGGGGGGCCUGCGUUUCGGCCGCAGGAGGGAAGAUUUCUUCUAUCAAAU
RNAcentral lists this transfer RNA (63 nucleotides) under Plagiorchis multiglandularis. Its description in RNAcentral is "tRNA-Arg". Lineage: Eukaryota; Metazoa; Platyhelminthes; Trematoda; Plagiorchiida; Plagiorchiidae. The record is from RNAcentral.